RNAcentral lists this small RNA (71 nucleotides) under Salix viminalis (osier). The record is from RNAcentral. Lineage: Eukaryota; Viridiplantae; Streptophyta; Magnoliopsida; Malpighiales; Salicaceae.
UUGAGCUGUACGAGAUGAAAUUCUCAUAUACGGUUCUCGGAGGGGAGUUUACCCAGUUUACCUAUCUCAAU